This 497-nucleotide ribosomal RNA is filed under the name uncultured bacterium. Its description in RNAcentral is "partial 16S ribosomal RNA". It matches the Rfam family "Bacterial small subunit ribosomal RNA", at positions 28 to 507 of the family's 1533-position model. The record is from RNAcentral.
GAUGAACGCUGGCGGCGUGCCUAAUACAUGCAAGUCGAGCGAACAGACGAGGAGCUUGCCCCUCUGACGUUAGCGGCGGACGGGUGAGUAACACGUGGAUAACCUACCUAUAAGACUGGGAUAACUUCGGGAAACCGGAGCUAAUACCGGAUAAUAUAUUGAACCGCAUGGUUCAAUAGUGAAAGACGGUUUUGCUGUCACUUAUAGAUGGAUCCGCGCCGCAUUAGCUAGUUGGUAAGGUAACGGCUUACCAAGGCAACGAUGCGUAGCCGACCUGAGAGGGUGAUCGGCCACACUGGAACUGAGACACGGUCCAGACUCCUACGGGAGGCAGCAGUAGGGAAUCUUCCGCAAUGGGUGAAAGCCUGACGGAGCAACGCCGCGUGAGUGAUGAAGGUCUUCGGAUCGUAAAACUCUGUUAUUAGGGAAGAACAAAUGUGUAAGUAACUAUGCACGUCUUGACGGUACCUAAUCAGAAAGCCACGGCUAACUACGUG